GCAGGCAGCAGUCACCCGGCCCCACCCCCACCAGGAAACUUGGGGCCUAGCCCUGCCCCACCUCCCCUCGGCCCAUCACACGCAGGUGUCCUCAGCCAAUCCCUCCCUGUUGCCAGGCCCCUUUCUCGGUCCCCAUUGGUGCCAGCUUGGAAGCAAUCGUCCCCGGUAGCCUGCAAAGGAUGGAUCUGGGCGUGGAACGAACUGCCAAAGGAAUCCAGGUUGUGACAGCUUUGUUGGAUGGCUCACUCCAAGCUGGGAAGCUGCUGUGCUGGGAAUAGGAGCCAGCUCUGAGCCGUUUCCUCCCAUCCUGCUUGUCCUGUGUCCUGAAGAAGCAGGUCACCUCUGUUUGUUGUAAGAACACACUGCUGAUGGACUAUUAAAAACAAAACAACAAUUUG
Molecule: long non-coding RNA, 398 nt
Organism: Peromyscus maniculatus bairdii (prairie deer mouse)
Lineage: Eukaryota; Metazoa; Chordata; Mammalia; Rodentia; Cricetidae
Source: RefSeq, a predicted model, not a curated record